RNAcentral lists this ribosomal RNA (816 nucleotides) under Triticum aestivum (bread wheat). RNAcentral describes it as "partial small subunit ribosomal RNA". Lineage: Eukaryota; Viridiplantae; Streptophyta; Magnoliopsida; Poales; Poaceae. The record is from RNAcentral.
AUGCUGCAGCGUCUCCAUUUUCUAGAGGUGGCCUAUUGCGAUAGGCUGCAGGUGGUAGAGAGCAAUGCUCCAAAUCUCACCACCUUUUACUUCGCAGGUUUGGUAGGUCAAAUCUCACUUGGGGGCUCACUGCAAGUGAAAACCCUAUACAUGAUAUGCUUCCGCCAGACCAACAUUGUCUGUUAUGCUCGGCAAAAUCUUUUGUCUAUUGCGCCAAAUGUUGAAACACUUACCAUAUCAUCACUGAGUGAGAUGGUGAACACACCGAUGCUAUCUAGCAAGUUUCUCCACCUCAAGGUCUUGCAGAUUUCAUUAGUGGGAAUGGCUUUUUCCGGAGCUUAUGAUUAUCUUUCUCUGAUUUCUUUUCUCGAUGCUUCUCCUUGCUUGGAGAAUUUCGUAUUAGCUAUAUCUCAGCAUCGCAUGCAGCACGCUUCGAUUCUUGGAGAGCCCUCGCAUGAUCUGAGGCAGACCCCGCAGCAGCGCCAUGACAAGCUCAAGAGUGUGACGAUCACCGGCUUUUGCUCGGCAAAGAGCUUGGUUGAGCUAACAUGUCAUAUCCUCGAGAACACAACAUCACUCGACUGCCUUACGCUGGACACCACAUGUCAUCCUAGUUGCUCUGUCACAAAACUUGGCAAGUGUCACCCCCUCAUCCUCAUGGAUGGGGAUAGCCUCGUGGAGGCACGGAAAGCGCUCUUGGCCAUCAGAAAAUACAUUGUUGGGAAAGUCCCCUCUAUGGUCAAGUUAAAUAUCUUGGAGCCUUGCAGCCGAUGCCAUGCUGUUGAAUCUUUGGUCUCAACUGCCGAUUCUUCGUAA